This 253-nucleotide ribosomal RNA is filed under the name uncultured bacterium. RNAcentral's name for it is "partial 16S ribosomal RNA". It matches the Rfam family "Bacterial small subunit ribosomal RNA", at positions 524 to 776 of the family's 1533-position model. The record is from RNAcentral.
CACGUAGGGCGCAAGCGUUGUCCGGAAUUAUUGGGCGUAAAGAGCUCGUAGGCGGUCUGUUACGUCUGCUGUGAAAACCCGGGGCUUAACCCUGGGCUUGCAGUGGAUACGGGCAGACUAGAGUGCGGUAGGGGAGACUGGAAUUCCUGGUGUAGCGGUGAAAUGCGCAGAUAUCAGGAGGAACACCGGUGGCGAAGGCGGGUCUCUGGACAGUUCCUGACGCUGAAGCACGAAGGCCAGGGGAGCAAACGGG